Molecule: unclassified non-coding RNA, 1161 nt
Filed under: Hevea brasiliensis (rubber tree)
Lineage: Eukaryota; Viridiplantae; Streptophyta; Magnoliopsida; Malpighiales; Euphorbiaceae
Source: RNAcentral
AACACAAAAAAUGAAAAUUUGACUAAAUAGCAUAGGUUCUUCUUUGGAAUUCUAAGGAACAGGAGGGAGAAAAAACAUUGAAACGCAAAACAACAGCAAAACCAUACUAAUUGAAAAGUAAUGAAGCAAAAUUUAAACAAUGAGGCAAGAACAUCACCGGUAGUACAAAUUACAGAAGCAAACAUCACCGGCCUCUUGUAACUUGUUCUUCCAACUCCUCAACUGACGAAGGAAACAAUUCUAUAUAACGACUUCCUAGAGUCAUCCUAUCCUUAGCCAUUGCUGCUUUUGAAUCUUCUGCACUUGCAAAUUCCACAAAUGCUUCCCCAGUUGGCCUCCCCUCUGAGUUCAUUGUAAUAUGAACCGACUCCUCUGACAACACAAAAUCUUUGAAGAACUCCAUUAUGUCAUCCUUGCCAGCAGAAAAUGGCAGUCCCCUCAACCGUAAUACCCCUGUAUGUUCAGCUGAGUCCUUCCCCUCGUCAUAAGAUUUAGCCCUCGGAGCAUUUUGCCUUGGUGAACCACCACGAGCAUCUGAAACUUCAUUUGCAAUUGCCUUGUAAUAAUCCUGUCUCUUACUUCUGAAAACCUCAACAUAUCGCCUGCCCAUGUUCUGCCUAUUCUUUUGAAGAGCAAAGUCAACUUGAAGAGGAUACCCAAAAACACAAAAUGCUUCACCAGUGAACUUGCCACCCUUGUGGACGAAAAGAACAUCAACUAUGUCCAGACCAUGGAAGAACUCAGCCACAUCAUUUUCUGUGCAAUCAAAGGGAAGACCACGAAGUCGGACAACAGGGAAGGGAGGAGGUUGGGCAACAUAUCCAUAAGAUGGUGGAUUAUACAUAAAACUCGAACCAGGGGAAGUUCCAUAGAAUGAAGGACCCUGAUCAAGUAACCGCUGACGUUUUGCACCCAUUUCACGACCAUCGCCACCAUCAGGAUAUCUACCUCUGUAGAACAUUCUCUCAACAAUUUGUUUUCUUUUCUAACACUUGUUCUUUCCUUCUUCUUCGAUUGCUCGAUUUCUUCCUUCCUUCCUUCCUUUGCCCUUAACUCGGCUCUCAACUCGAAGCUCUUUCUGCGUGUAGUGUAGGGCCUACCGGGCGGACGUAGACGAUGAAAAUGUGUUAGACAACGACGUCGUUCGCUCCUUCACUCAAA